AACGAAGCCCUCGCGACGAAGA
This 22-nucleotide non-coding RNA is filed under the name Arabidopsis thaliana (thale cress). Lineage: Eukaryota; Viridiplantae; Streptophyta; Magnoliopsida; Brassicales; Brassicaceae. The record is from RNAcentral.